Leptonychotes weddellii (Weddell seal) is the source of this 2090-nucleotide non-coding RNA. The record is from RefSeq and is a predicted model, not a curated record. NCBI's taxonomy places the organism in Eukaryota, Metazoa, Chordata, Mammalia, Carnivora, Phocidae.
UGGUCCUCACCCAGGAGGCCUCCUCUCCUUGCCUGCUGGGCCAGGGACUCAGAGCCUCCUCUGUCACGGCACACACGCACCAUGUGACAACUGUCUCUGCAAGUGUCCCCACCACUGCAGCUUCGGCACCUCAGACUGCGCCCUGUCUUCCAUCUGUGUCCUCCCUGACCCGGAGCAGGGGCCUGGGCAUGGCUGCGGAAUGAAGGGGACAGAGGCUGAACCUGCAACGGAGGGGACUCUGCUGGAAACAUCCCGUGUUUGGUACCGUGUCGUUCCGAGGCUUUGCUGCAAGAAGAGAGGAAUGUGGGGGAGCAGAUUCCAGAAUCCGGCCUGGAGAGAGAUGGGCAAGGAAGAAGCCCCUGCUGGGGAAUGGUGGUGGGUUUUCCUGCAGAGGACGAUGUAAAGUCUGGGCAGCCCAGAGGAGUGAGCUUGCAGGUGUGCAAGCAGGGACAAGCCCCCAGUCACACUGGUGACCGAAGCCAUCAGGUGACAGGAUGUUUAACCCCUCUUGCGCUUCCUCCUGAGAACGGGUCACGCAUUCCCCAAGCUGGCUUGUCCUUUCUGAGUCUGCAUGGAUUAGCCUGUGUGUGGAUCAUGAGGGCUUGGGUACGACUCAGCUAGUGGCUUCUCCUCCCUCCAGGGUCCCCAGGCUUCCUGUCCAUCCCCCAGGGCCACCCUUAGCAGGUGGGCCUGGGGGGGCUGUGUCUCACUCCAUGAGCCAGAGCCAGGGGCCCCUCACCUUGGCCCUCCAGGGGCCCCCUUUCCUUCCCUCUGGGUGUUCCUGCCGCCCCUCGAGUGAAAUGGAGGCUCGGUGGCAUCUGUCCCCUACUGGCCGUUCCAGCAACCAGGAGGGUGAAGCGGAAGGCGGUGGAGAGGGUUUGCCAGGACUGGGUUUGGGGUGAGGUGCAUCGGACUCGGCCAGACCUCUGGGGUGCUGGCAGUCACUUCUGACGCUCCCAUCUCCAGCCAGCACCCUUCUUCCCUGAGUUCAAGAAGUAAGCAUCCUUCUGUCUCCCUGACAGCUAUGCGUUUCUUGCUCAGCACGCACACCACCAAGUUCACAAGGCUUGUGCCCCUGGACUGUUCUCCAGCGUUUGCUACCUCUCUUGGGGGCACACCCUUGACUCCUCUGUCCCCUCCCUCCAUCGGCCAGUCCUAAGCCUGCCCUCUCCAUUCCAUCCCCGGUCCUCUCCCCACACCACCACCACGCAGUGGGACCCCGCAGGGCCUCCGGGCUGGUCUCCCUGCACAGAUGCCGUCAGGGGCCAGCUCUCCGCACGCACCGUCUCUCUCAGGCACAACCACUGCAGGAGGUGAGGGUUAUCAUUUCCAGCAUUGUCCAGGUAAGGACGUGGGGCUCUCAGAGAAGCUAGAAGCCCCGCCGAGGUAGCACAAGUGCUGGGAGAUGGCCCCGCCAACCCGGUACGACCUGCAGCGAACCGGGGUGGGGCAGUCUGCUCUCCGGGAUUCUUCCUCGCGCCCGCAAAGAUAUCCUUGCACCUCCGCUGUGUUUUUUCAUUUCUCACUGAUACUCGCACCGAUCCGGCGCCCAGCGAGCACCCAGAAUCUCCCCGCUGCUUCUAUCACAGGCAGAUGACACUUCCUGGCCCAAGCCGCAGCCACUUCUCUCUUUCUCCUGUGGCGAUGCUGGUUAUGAAACCAGGAAUAGUUGUCGGCGGCAUGGGACAUCGAGGUCACUCAGACCAAAACACGGAGACUGAGCCAGGCCGUGUCAGCCUGGGCAGGCUGCAACCUUUGCACUGGGGCCCAGGGCCCCGGAAGGCGGGCCACAGCCAACCCAGUUGCCGUGGAGACACAGACAGACAGACAGACAGCUGGGGUCCGCCAGCUUGAAGGCGCCCAGGGCCUAGAGGAGGGGGAGACGAACAUCACCUCCAGGGCGGAGCUGGCCUGCUCACAGGCCCCUCCUAGCAGGUGCCCCCCCCCACCCCAGGGCUGGGCCCAGGCGGCCACUGGAGGGCAGGGCAGCUCUGGCUCUGGAGCCCCGACUUGGCUUCUGGUCCUCACUCUGCCACUUGCACCGCUGUGUGUCUUCGGCUAGUCGCUUCACCUCUCUGAGCCACUGCUAC